Molecule: ribosomal RNA, 460 nt
Filed under: uncultured bacterium
Lineage: Bacteria
Description: partial 16S ribosomal RNA
Rfam family: Bacterial small subunit ribosomal RNA
Source: RNAcentral
CCUACGGGAGGCAACAGUGAGGAAUAUUGGUCAAUGGCCGGAAGGCUGAACCAGCCAUGCCGCGUGAAGGUCAGUGCCCUAUGGGCGUUAAACUUCUUUUGUGCGGGAGCAAUAAUGGUCACGUGUGGCCAGACGAGAGUACCGUACGAAUAAGCAUCGGCUAACUCCGUGCCAGCAGCCGCGGUAAUACGGGGGAUGCAAGGGUUAUCCGGAUUUAUUGGGUUUAAAGGGUGCGUAGGCUGUGAGGUAAGUCAGCGGUGAAAUGCCCCCGCUCAACGGGGUGAAGUGCCAUUGAUACUGCCUGGCUGGAAUGCGGAUGCCGUGGGAGGAAUGUGUGGUGUAGCGGUGAAAUGCAUAGAUAUCACACAGAACACCGAUUGCGAAGGCAUCUCACGAAUCCGCGAUUGACGCUGAUGCACGAAAGCGUGGGUAUCAAACAGGAUUAGAUACCCCAGUAGUC